This 389-nucleotide small RNA is filed under the name Arabidopsis thaliana (thale cress). Its description in RNAcentral is "ATSL176130". Lineage: Eukaryota; Viridiplantae; Streptophyta; Magnoliopsida; Brassicales; Brassicaceae. The record is from RNAcentral.
UACGAUAAUUAAGUAAGAAAAGGUAAUGGAUGUGAUUGGUAACUAUAAGUUGUACGAGUUUUUUAGCUAUUAGUUUUAUCGGAAUAAUGCAAAGCUGUUAAAAUAAGCUGUAUAAUAAAUCUAAAUCUGUAUAAAAAAACUGAGAGUAAAACUUUUUGUAACGCUUUUGAUAAAGUUAUUGUGAUUGGUAACUGUUAAAGUUGUACCGCUAUUAUAAUAGCUACCAUUCAAUCCAAUACAAAAACAAAAAACAACACAUUUUCUUUAACGAAAAAUGGCUAGAUAUACGGUACUUAUACUUUUCAUAUAAAAAAACUUAAGUAAAUUCUACGAAUAUUUGCUUCAAUAUGAUGUUAUUAUAUUAAAAUUAUGAUACGCAUGUAAAUUGU